AGGGGGCGGAGAGGACAGCUUGGGCUCCGGCGGGCAGAGUGACGGUGGCAGAACCUGCGAGCUAGGUGGGCUGUUCGCCAGCUGCGACCAAGGGAAACAAGAACUGCUGCUGCGGUCGAGCGAGGAGGCGAGCGGAGUCCGGGAGUCUCAUCGCUGCCGCCUCCCGCUCCCGCAGGCGGAGAGCGCGUACCAGCAGGCGCACCGGCUGCUGCUGCGACCCUACGCACAGGGUAAAGGAGCUACCUGUAUUAAAGGAAGACCUUGGGGCGCUCUUCCUUCACGGUCAAAUCGGGGAGUUGGGCAUUGCGAGGAAAAUAGCCCGCCACACUGCUUUUCCGAUUGAACAAAGAUCCAGCUCAGGUGGCGGUGUAGAAUCCAAAAACGCGAGCUUCCAGAUAUGGUUGCUGAAAAACAAGAGUUGAAUGUACCGGAGGGAGCAAGCACAAGAAUCUGAAAAACCGCAGGCAUACCGAGUUGCCUACCGACCAAAGUGAGGACCGGUUAUGUCCUGACCAGAGUGAUAAACAAGUUUGUAAAGUUAUUCCCUGUGACACAAUUCAAGAUAAUUUGCUGCUGAUUACCAUUA
Molecule: long non-coding RNA, 586 nt
Organism: Ochotona princeps (American pika)
Lineage: Eukaryota; Metazoa; Chordata; Mammalia; Lagomorpha; Ochotonidae
Exons: 4
Source: RefSeq, a predicted model, not a curated record